GCCCUUCCCCUGGCCCCUUCUUGCAGACAUCCUCGCCCGCCCCUUUGCCCUCCCAUACUUUUUUUUCUGCCAGAAGUCCAGGUGGAGCUUAGAGUCCCCACUCCGUGAGGUCUACCCCCACAGCAAGCCCUCAUUCGUUCCCUCUGUUCCCGAGGAUCUGUGGAGUCCCUCUAAGAGCCCACCUGAGUGUGGUGUUGCUGAGACCCACUUACUUGUCCUGCUCCCUGGGCUGGAAGCAUCUGAGGGCAGUGAUGGGGCCCCAGGGGAGGCAUCAGAGCCCUGCAGCCCUUGCUGAUAUCUAGAAACCCAAGAGUACAGAGCAGGCAAUCAUUGCAUGCCUCUGUGAUAAGGCUCCUCCGUUCCCAUACGCUGCUCCCCACUCCCCGGGACCAGGGAUACAGAGAGAUCAGGGCUCUUCGCCUGGUGGACACAUUCAGGACCAAGCCUGAGCUGCCCCCACCCUCCCCUGGCCUCUGGCAGAGCUUCCGGCCAGGCCGAGUGGCCAAAAGAACCAGCUCCCGUUAACAAGCCGGGUGCUGACAGCUGGGUCCUGGAGAACAAGGAGCCCUUUGAAGGUACAGCGCCGGGCGGGCCGCACAUUCAGGACAUGGCCUGGGAGCCCAAACUGACCCCGACGAAUUCUCAGAUGACCGAAGAAGCACUGCCCUCUGCGCUCCUGGCAUGGCUUCUUGGCUCUACUUCGAAGAUGAGCAGCAGCUCUGGCUUCUCCAAGUACCUCUCCAAGUACUCCCGUGGCAGGAGGCCAGGACUGGGUGCGCACACCUCUCACUGCGUCCGGCCUCGUGACGUGUCCAGCAGUGGCCUCGGUCAUCACUCUGUGGACAACAGCGUGGGCCUUCCAUCCAUCCCCCAUCGGGAGGCUCUACCACAGGGCCCACGUGGGUCUCCCAGCCCUUGAGGAUGGCUCCUCCACGCCCUCGGGAUGACCGCCCAGCUCUGGCUGGAGGCCCAAGGCCCUGCUGCCUGAGCCCGAGGUCUCCUCCCAGCCUCAGGGCCCGUCUCCUGACCACCUGCAUAGCUUGGCCUCUCUGCUGCCUCCCAAACCUCCUCCUGCUCUGGCUCACUGGUGUCUACCCCUGGCAGUGAGAGCUGUUCUCUCCUCCAGACCCCCCAGGACUGUACAGCCCAUGCCAGGGACUUUUAUGGAUGCGCCCACUGCUCUCUGGACACGGCUGCUGAGGAACAGAAGCUGGGGGUGAGUCGGCUCUGACUCCCAGGGCCCCGCAUGGCCUGGCCGAAGGCAGUGUCCACUAGAGGUUGGCAGAGAGCAUGCAUUCAAGAAGUCUGCUUCUUGGAAGGCAGCCUGACCACACCCCAGGAGCAGAGAGACGGCCGACUUUGAGGGCAGAUGACCCUGCACAGCCUUGGCCUCAGUGUCCUCAUCUGUGGAAUGGGGAUCCUAGCACCCAUUUUCCCCCCCAUUUUAGCCAUGCUUCUAGGUAUGUAUCUUACUGACAUUUUAACUUGCAUUUUUCUCGUAAGGAAUGAAGUUUGGAGAUCCUUUUUGUCACCUUGA
This is an RNA transcript of Canis lupus familiaris (dog), 1537 nucleotides long. RefSeq lists it as uncharacterized. The transcript is spliced from 2 exons. The record is from RefSeq and is a predicted model, not a curated record. NCBI's taxonomy places the organism in Eukaryota, Metazoa, Chordata, Mammalia, Carnivora, Canidae.